AUUGAACGCUGGCGGCAGGCCUAACACAUGCAAGUCGAGCGGAUGAAGGGAGCUUGCUCCUGGAUUCAGCGGCGGACGGGUGAGUAAUGCCUAGGAAUCUGCCUGGUAGUGGGGGAUUACGUCCGGAAACGGGCGCUAAUACCGCAUACGUCCUGAGGGAGAAAGUGGGGGAUCUUCGGACCUCACGCUAUCUGAUGAGCCUAGGUCGGAUUAGCUAGUUGGUGGGGUAAAGGCCUACCAAGGCGACGAUCCGUAACUGGUCUGAGAGGAUGAUCAGUCACACUGGAACUGAGACACGGUCCAGACUCCUACGGGAGGCAGCAGUGGGGAAUAUUGGACAAUGGGCGAAAGCCUGAUCCAGCCAUGCCGCGUGUGUGAAGAAGGUCUUCGGAUUGUAAAGCACUUUAAGUUGGGAGGAAGGGCAGUAAGUUAAUACCUUGCUGUUUUGACGUUACCAACAGAAUAAGCACCGGCUAACUUCGUG
RNAcentral lists this ribosomal RNA (484 nucleotides) under uncultured bacterium. RNAcentral describes it as "partial 16S ribosomal RNA". It matches the Rfam family "Bacterial small subunit ribosomal RNA", at positions 30 to 507 of the family's 1533-position model. The record is from RNAcentral.